CAGCCGCCGCGGGAAUACGAGGGGGGCAAGCGUUGUUCGGAAUUACUGGGCGUAAAGCGCACGUAGGCGGCUUGGUAAGUUAGAGGUGAAAGCCUGGAGCUCAACUCCAGAAUUGCCUUUAAGACUGCAUCGCUUGAACGUCGGAGAGGUGAGUGGAAUUCCGAGUGUAGAGGUGAAAUUCGUAGAUAUUCGGAAGAACACCAGUGGCGAAGGCGGCUCACUGGACGACUGUUGACGCUGAGGUACGAAAGCGUAGGGAGCAAACAGGAUUAGAGACCCGCGUAGUCCCUGUCUCUUAUAC
Molecule: ribosomal RNA, 301 nt
Filed under: uncultured bacterium
Lineage: Bacteria
Description: partial 16S ribosomal RNA
Rfam family: Bacterial small subunit ribosomal RNA
Source: RNAcentral